This 733-nucleotide long non-coding RNA is filed under the name Anas platyrhynchos platyrhynchos (common mallard). RNAcentral describes it as "lncRNA (ENSAPLG00000023800.1)". Lineage: Eukaryota; Metazoa; Chordata; Aves; Anseriformes; Anatidae. The record is from RNAcentral.
UCUGAUUUGGAAGUGCUGUGCUUUCAUGUUGUAUGCCUAUAUGACUGUUUAUUUAGUUGUGAGUUGAUUGAUUAGGAAAUAAGUGCUUUUCAAGUUGACAGUAUAAAUAAUGAAACUUUAUUAGUGAUAUAUGUGACACAUUCAACAAUGCUAAUUUUCUGUACUGCUCUGUGUAAUUCACUUGCCUUUUUCAGUGGGCUGUAAACAAUAGGAGUUUUGAGGGAAAUCGCUAAUUUGUUGGCUUUUUAAAAGGCAACAGAAAGGAAUCCAAAAUUUACAAAUAUUUCCAGAGUGCCACCUAGUGGGAAAAGAAUUGAAGCCGCAAGAAAAUUUGGACUCAAAUACAGCUUUGAUCUUGUCAAGUUGCUGAUCAAGGUGUGAAGGCUGACAGACUGUGGUCUUGCAGAAGCAGGAACUCAAACUAUAUGCCCCUGAAAAAGAGAAAUAUGUAAUUUUCACUUUGUGACAAACAGUUCCUCGAACUCUGGAAAAUCCUCUGGUGUUUGACUGAAAGUAUAUGAUAGUCUCUUCAUAGUAAGAAAACACCCUAAAUCAUGUCUGGAGAUGUCUCCAAAUGAUUAGCUGUGGGUAUUUUUACUCAACUCAAGCCUAGUUUUAUUGCACUCAUGGGAAUAACUUAUACAAGCAGAACAACACGUGUGAUCUUGAGUUAUGACCUGCACAAGGUAUAUGUGUGAUUGUGGUGUGAUAAAAAGGUUUGUUUGUCACUUAU